This is an RNA transcript of Aphis gossypii (cotton aphid), 2365 nucleotides long. It is a transcript of the gene named TRPL translocation defect protein 14, with no coding region annotated. The transcript is spliced from 12 exons. The record is from RefSeq and is a predicted model, not a curated record. NCBI's taxonomy places the organism in Eukaryota, Metazoa, Arthropoda, Insecta, Hemiptera, Aphididae.
GGAGUAGGCGGCUCGUCGGCGGCGGGCACCAGCGCGACUCGGCAGCACGGCAGCGCCCGAGCAAUCGUAGUCGAGUGUGGUCGUUGUCAUUAAUUUCGUCGUCGUCUCGCCCCCGUAGCACGCUUACACCGCGCACGCGGUCACACUCGUCGCUAGUCGCUCGUCAGUCGGCUGUAGCCAGGACGCGCAACGUCCGCACGCGUGCGCUAGUCCGGUCGCGGUUUUUGCGGCGGAAAUAAUAAUUUUUUUUAGCUUUUCGUUUUUCUCCCUCUCUUUUUCGCAAACACGCGACUGUAACAAUAAUUACGCUGAUAAUAAUGAUAAUAUUCAAAACAAACUGCGAAUAAUAAUAACAAACAAUUAUUGCUGCGCGCAAUGAGUUCCGUCGGGAAACCGUCCGAACAGUCGUUUUACUUACACCGUCGGCGUGCCGUCUCCAUCAUCGCGCGAACGAUUUCCUCCGAGUUUGGACACAACUAGUGAACGAUACUGUCGUCGCCGCCACCACCACCACUACUACUACCACCAUCACACCACCACCACCACCACCACCACCACCAAUAACAACAACAAAAGUCACAUGGUUCUCACGCCACGACCGCCUUCGUCAAGCAUUAGUUAACACUUAACACGCGGUCCAGUCUCGUUCGUCUCCACGAAAAUAUUCACGAUGGAUGGCAAAAUCAAGAAACUCUACAAAAUUGUACUGACCGGCGGCCCAUGUGGCGGUAAGACAACGGGACAGUCACGACUAUGUACAUUCUUUGAGAAUUUAGGUUGGAAGGUUUACAGAGUUCCCGAGACUGCCAAUGUUCUAUUAAGUGGAGGUAUCAAAUUUUCGGAAUUAAGUGACGAUGAAGCCCAUAAAUUUCAAGAGAACCUUCUUAGAUGUAUGUUACAAAUAGAAAACACGUUUUUUGAACUGGGCGAAUCAUGCGACCAAGACUGUCUAAUCAUUUGUGACAGAGGUGCUAUGGAUGCUGCCGCGUAUAUACCAAGUAAUAAAUGGGAUCUGAUAAUGAAAGAAAAUGGUUUGAAUAUGGUUGAUUUAAGAGAUAAUCGUUACAAUCAAAUAAUUCACAUGGUGUCUGCUGCAUGUGGAGCUGAAGACUUUUAUACAACUGAGGAUCAUACUAGCAGGAGAGAGGAUGUUUCUCUUGCUAAAAGUCUUGAUGUCAAAGCGUCAGCAUCAUGGAUCGGGCAUCCAUACUUCGAUGUUAUUGAUAAUUCAUCUGAUUUUGAAAAUAAAAUAUGUAGAAUGAUAGCUGCGGUUUGUCAGAAAUUGGGCCUGGACACUGGGGAUAGAUUAGCUACUAACUCAAAAAAACGUAAAUGGUUAGUGAAAUAUCUGCCCGAUGAUUCGUUGUUCCCUCCAUUUCAAGAUUUUGAUGUUGUACAUAAUUACUUGCAGACAUAUACUAAAAAUAUGCAAGCUCGUUUAAGAAAACGAGGACAAAAAGGCCAUUGGAAUUAUACACAUACAAUUCGCAGACCUAGAGUCCGUGGUCAAGUAAUAGAAGUGAAAACACAGCUCAGUCACAGAGACUAUGUGAAUCUAUUGUCACAAAAAGAUGAAACCCACUAUCCAAUCUAUAAAAAAAGACGAUGUUUUAUACACUACAAUCAGUAUUUCCAGCUGGACAUUUAUUGUAAACCUUGUCAUAAAAGGUGUGAAGGGUUAGUGUUACUUGAGACUUAUUCUGCUCUCGAGGACCAAAAGCUGCUUGACCGUUUACCAAAAUUCCUAGACAUUGAAUCGGAAGUUACUGGUAACGCAGCGUAUUCCAUGUUCAACUUGUCACUCGUUGAAGAUUGGGACAAGUCAAAAAAUUUUUGUCACUACUUGAAAGUGUACGACCGCUUCGACGGCGUCCCGCAAAUUAAUGGAGUACCCGACCACGUCGAGAACACGAACAUGCAAUAAUAAUUAUUUUGUUCGGAGAACCGUUUCCGCAAAAGGUUUUGGGCAGUGCAGGAAAGACGCAAAGAAAAGAUUUCGUCACGAUUCGCGACUCGACAGAUAGAAUAUUCGCGGACUCGCGAUCACCGAUACAUUUCAGUCUGUCGAAUCCCACUCGAAUCAUCUGCAAGGCUUCACUGCCCCAGUACUUGAACAAGUUGAACAUUUAUUUCCUACCCGUCUGUAAGAUGAGGUUGUCGGAGGAACAUACGACUUAAGACUUCUGUAAUUAAUGGGACACUUACGGCGGUAAACCAAAUAAAUACGUAUCUAAGUACUAUUUAUAUGGAUAAUGUAUUUUAUACAAUUUGUCAAUAUUGUUAUAUUACUAACAUUUGAGUAUGUUAACCUCAAUACAUAAGUAAAUAAUGCGUUUAUUACACCUACCUUUAAUAUAAUCCGUGU